RNAcentral lists this transfer RNA (73 nucleotides) under Felis catus (domestic cat). It matches the Rfam family "tRNA". From Rfam's summary of the family: Transfer RNA (tRNA) molecules are approximately 80 nucleotides in length. Their secondary structure includes four short double-helical elements and three loops (D, anti-codon, and T loops). Lineage: Eukaryota; Metazoa; Chordata; Mammalia; Carnivora; Felidae. The record is from Rfam by way of RNAcentral.
GCCUGGCUGGCUCAGACAGUAGAGCGUGGAACUCUUGAUGUUGGGGUCAUGAGUUUGAGCCUCAUGUUGGGUG